CACCAAGAAAUUAAGUCAUAUUUAAAUGGUAAAAAGACAGUUAGACAUUAAGUAUUUUAAAGCUUUUUGACUUUUUAUAGAGAAGUAAAAUUUAUAUAUAAAUGUAUAAUUUAACAAUAGCUGUAAAGUUGAAUCUGUGACAGCCCGGAGGGAAACUGGGAUUAGAUACCCCAUUAUUCCUGGUUAUAAAUAAAUUAAAAUUUACCAGAGUACUAUGAAUACUAUAAAAUUUAAAACUCAAAGGACUUGGCGGUGUUUUAGACCAUUUAGGGGAACCUGUCUUGUAAUCGAUAAUCCACGUUACACCUGACCUUUCUUUGCUUUCAGUUUGUAUAUCGUUGUCGUCAGGUAACUUUUUAGAAAUUAGAAGUUAGCUAAAAAUAGUAAAUUUAAACGUCAAAUCAAGGUGCAGCUUAUGGAAAGGUAAAGAUGGGUUACAAUUAUUUUAGUUAUAAUUAACGGAAAAUCAUGCGAACCAAUGAUAGAUGAAGGAGGACUUAAAAGUAAAUUAAAUUAUAUAAGUAAUUUGAAUAAGGCUCUGAAAUGUGC
RNAcentral lists this ribosomal RNA (549 nucleotides) under Lophiotoma cf. unedo 4NP MNHN IM 2007-41341. RNAcentral describes it as "partial 12S ribosomal RNA". The record is from RNAcentral. Lineage: Eukaryota; Metazoa; Mollusca; Gastropoda; Neogastropoda; Turridae.